AGACGGGGGCGCACACCGGCUACGGUCUCUCUUUCUGCUGACGCCACGACGUUUGUAUUUGCAUCUUGCAGCUGGGUCUGGCGCCUGGGCCUAGCAGAGCGGAGCCGGUGCGAUGCUGAGCCGGCGGCCUGGCCUUCCAGCCCCUCCGUGGGCGCCGCGCACACCUGAGGGAGCCGGACCGGGGAUGGACAGAAUGUCGAGCAGGAGGCCCAGGAUCCCACCCUGAGGUAGGGAAUUUCGAGUGGAGGACUUCUCGCAGCCCUGGCCUCCCAUGAGUCCAUUUUAGGAGUGUCCCUUCCUCAAGUUUGGAGGACCGAGUGCUAGAAUGCAAUGUUGGCAGCAGUGGAGAAGGAGGAGGCUAUCUCCAGAGGAGUGCCCAUCAACUCACAAGAUUCUGACUGAAGGCCACCUCAUGAAAAAACUCCCUAGUGUGUCUGCCCACCUUGUCCUGGUCAGGCACCUCUGAUAUCCUGCCCCACAGGACAUUUACACUACUUAAUAAAUUUGUUUCCAAAA
This is a long non-coding RNA of Microtus oregoni (creeping vole), 516 nucleotides long. RefSeq lists it as uncharacterized. The record is from RefSeq and is a predicted model, not a curated record. NCBI's taxonomy places the organism in Eukaryota, Metazoa, Chordata, Mammalia, Rodentia, Cricetidae. The transcript has 5 exons.